GCAGUAUACAGUAUAUUUGAGUUGAGGAAGGUGUGUGGUGUAUCUGCAGUAUAUUUGAGUUGAGGAAGGUGUGUGAGGUAUCUGCAGUAUAGUAUAUUUGAGUUACAUUUACAUUUACAUUUAGUCAUUUAGCAGACGCUUUUGUCCAAAGCGACGUACAAUGGAGAGAACAGUCAAGCUAAGAGCAAUAAAAAACAUGGUGUAACAAUAAAUACUACUUUACAUGAGAAUUAGAAAACAACGACCUAGAAAAAAAGGAAAAAGAAGUGCAGGAAUGUAACUGUUGAAGUGCAAGUUAAGCGCUAGUCAAGGUGCCAGUUAGGAAGGGAGGUGCUCUCUGAAGAGUUGGGUCUAGGUGUGGAGGUAUCUGCAGUAUAGUAUAUUUGAGUUGAGGAAGGUGUGGAGGUAUCUACAGUAUAUUUGAGUUGAGGAAGGUGUGUGGUGUAUCUGCAGUAUAUUUGAGUUGAGGAAGGUGUGUGGUGUAUCUACAGUAUAGUAUAUUUGAGUUGAGGAAGGUGUGUGAGGUAUCUACAGUAUAUUUGAGUUGAGGAAGGUGUGUGGUGUAUCUACAGUAUAUUUGAGUUGAGGAAGGUGUGGUGUAUCUGCAGUACAGUAUCUUUGAGUUGAGGAAGGUGUGGUGUAUCUGCAGUACAGUGUAUUUGAGUUGAGGAGAUCACACACGUGCUGAAUGGUUCAUACCGGAGUUGAGAGGACUGAUGGCAUGAAUAUGGUUAUCUGUCGCAUUCAGACUUGUGGAUUUGCCACAGUGUUGACGUGAGGCACCCUGGGAAGACAAUUAGCAUGUCCCAGGGAGAGACAGAGAGAGG
Clupea harengus (Atlantic herring) is the source of this 827-nucleotide long non-coding RNA. NCBI's taxonomy places the organism in Eukaryota, Metazoa, Chordata, Actinopteri, Clupeiformes, Clupeidae. The record is from Ensembl.